GAAACACAGACUGCAAUGCCACAUGUUUGCUGUUCCCAAAAGAAUAUUUCUGACUGCAUUGAACAGACCCAAGUAUCGUUUCUUAACAGAAGACCCAAGUGUCUAGAGCAGUCUGUUGGUGAGUGAUGCCCUCCCAGUUGUGUCCUUGCUCCCCUCUGGAUUCCUUCUCCUGGGACCUGCUCUCUCUUCCUUCGGGUUCUCCCCCGAAGGUGGGUCAUUCCUUGUUGCUAUAGCAACCCUAUGUCCCUAGCCCAUUCAGCCAAGCAAGUCUUAGCCUUUUCUCCAUUCUCCAACCCCUCCAAUUCUAGACCCUAUUCUAUAUUUUCUUUAAAAAUGACUACCAGGCUAUACAAGGCCCUACAUUUAAUUCUGCAGCAUGAAAAAUAAUAAGAAAAAAAGAAAGAUACCAGUCACUCAUUUUUCUUUUCUGCUCCAUGAUGACAACUUUGUGGAGGGAGAGAAGACCACACAGGCUAGAAACCCCCGCAGUGUCCGGAAUGGUGGCUGCUGGGCCCCCUCCUCCUCUGUCACCCCCUCAGGAGGACACCUGCAGUGCUUUCCACAGUGCUGGAAACUCAGGCCCCUGUGGACCUCAGAGUCAUCUUUGAGGCUUGGUGAACUUCAGAGGUGGAAGCAGAGUAUCACCGUGGCUAAAAGGUGCCCUGCCUGAGUGCCCUGAUGCCAGCUCCACAGGAGGACCUCUGGUGGCCAAGAACAGGAGGAAAGAAAGGAGAGAGAAGCAGUGGCCACACACAGCAGGACCUUACGGACUCCAGCUGACCAGGAGUCCAUGAUGCAGGGUGGCAGAGCUGACACUGCCCAUCAUGUUGGCCUCUUUCAACAUGAUGCUACUGAAGUGUUACCGUUCAUCCUGCCCAUCUCCAAAGCUCCAUGACUGCUUGUCCCAGGCUCCAGGUCUCUCCCAGAUCUGCAUGCAGUUGGAACUUGUUUCAUAUCUUCAAUAUUCAUCAGAAGGUCAAAAGACAUGAUUACAAGAGUGAGAAGGUGAACCUCAGAGUACGAGAAGACACUGGCCACAUGAAUCACCAAGACUUUUAUCCAGAACUGAUAAAGAACUCCAAAACAACAACAACAAAAAAUAUUGGCUGACAUCGCUAAUCCAAAAAUCCAAAAUUCAAAAUGCUC
Long non-coding RNA from Heterocephalus glaber (naked mole-rat), 1146 nucleotides. The record is from Ensembl. Lineage: Eukaryota; Metazoa; Chordata; Mammalia; Rodentia; Bathyergidae.